AAGGUUUCCGUAGGUGAACCUGCGGAAGGAUCAUUACCGAGUGAGGGCCCUCUGGGUCCAACCUCCCACCCGUGUUUAUCGUACCUUGUUGCUUCGGCGGGCCCGCCGUAAGGCCGCCGGGGGGCAUCUGCCCUCUGGCCCGCGCCCGCCGAAGACACCAUUGAACGCUGUCUGAAGAUUGCAGUCUGAGCAAUUAGUUAAAUAACUUAAAACUUUCAACAACGGAUCUCUUGGUUCCGGCAUCGAUGAAGAACGCAGCGAAAUGCGAUACGUAAUGUGAAUUGCAGAAUUCAGUGAAUCAUCGAGUCUUUGAACGCACAUUGCGCCCCCUGGUAUUCCGGGGGGCAUGCCUGUCCGAGCGUCAUUGCUGCCCUCAAGCACGGCUUGUGUGUUGGGCUCCGUCCUCCUCCCGGGGGACGGGCCCGAAAGGCAGCGGCGGCACCGCGUCCGGUCCUCGAGCGUAUGGGGCUUCGUCACCCGCUCUGUAGGCCCGGCCGGCGCUUGCCGACACAUCAAUCUUUUUUCCAGGUUGACCUCGGAUCAGGUAGGGAUACCCGCUG
Molecule: ribosomal RNA, 560 nt
Filed under: Penicillium citreonigrum
Lineage: Eukaryota; Fungi; Ascomycota; Eurotiomycetes; Eurotiales; Aspergillaceae
Description: eukaryotic LSU rRNA
Rfam family: 5.8S ribosomal RNA (bases 211-364)
Source: RNAcentral